This 485-nucleotide ribosomal RNA is filed under the name uncultured bacterium. RNAcentral's name for it is "partial 16S ribosomal RNA". It matches the Rfam family "Bacterial small subunit ribosomal RNA", at positions 28 to 523 of the family's 1533-position model. The record is from RNAcentral.
GAUGAACGCUGGCGGCGUGCUUAACACAUGCAAGUCGAACGAUGAACCGGGUGCUUGCACUCGGGGAUUAGUGGCGAACGGGUGAGUAACACGUGAGCAACCUGCCCCUGACUCUGGAAUAAGCGCUGGAAACGGCGUCUAAUACUGGAUAUGUCCCGUCACCGCAUGGUGUGCGGGUGGAAAGAUUUUUCGGUUGGGGAUGGGCUCGCGGCCUAUCAGCUUGUUGGUGAGGUAAUGGCUCACCAAGGCGUCGACGGGUAGCCGGCCUGAAAGGGUGACCGGCCACACUGGGACUGAGACACGGCCCAGACUCCUACGGGAGGCAGCAGUGGGGAAUAUUGCACAAUGGGCGGAAGCCUGAUGCAGCAACGCCGCGUGAGGGAUGACGGCCUUCGGGUUGUAAACCUCUUUUAGCAGGGAAGAAGCGAGAGUGACGGUACCUGCAGAAAAAGCACCGGCUAACUACGUGCCAGCAGCCGCAGUAA